GUGGUAUCCUGUCUGAAUAUGGGGGGACCAUCCUCCAAGGCUAAAUACUCCUGACUGACCGAUAGUGAACCAGUACCGUGAGGGAAAGGCGAAAAGAACCCCGGCGAGGGGAGUGAAAAAGAACCUGAAACCGUGUACGUACAAGCAGUGGGAGCACGCUUAGGCGUGUGACUGCGUACCUUUUGUAUAAUGGGUCAGCGACUUAUAUUCUGUAGCAAGGUUAACCGAAUAGGGGAGCCGAAGGGAAACCGAGUCUUAACUGGGCGUUAAGUUGCAGGGUAUAGACCCGAAACCCGGUGAUCUAGCCAUGGGCAGGUUGAAGGUUGGGUAACACUAACUGGAGGACCGAACCGACUAAUGUUGAAAAAUUAGCGGAUGACUUGUGGCUGGGGGUGAAAGGCCAAUCAAACCGGGAGAUAGCUGGUUCUCCCCGAAAGCUAUUUAGGUAGCGCCUCGUGAAUUCAUCUCCGGGGGUAGAGCACUGUUUCGGCAAGGGGGUCAUCCCGACUUACCAACCCGAUGCAAACUGCGAAUACCGGAGAAUGUUAUCACGGGAGACACACGGCGGGUGCUAACGUCCGUCGUGAAGAGGGAAACAACCCAGACCGCCAGCUAAGGUCCCAAAGUCAUGGUUAAGUGGGAAACGAUGUGGGAAGGCCCAGACAGCCAGGAUGUUGGCUUAGAAGCAGCCAUCAUUUAAAGAAAGCGUAAUAGCUCACUGGUCGAGUCGGCCUGCGCGGAAGAUGUAACGGGGCUAAACCAUGCACCGAAGCUGCGGCAGCGACGCUUAUGCGUUGUUGGGUAGGGGAGCGUUCUGUAAGCCUGUGAAGGUGUGCUGUGAGGCAUGCUGGAGGUAUCAGAAGUGCGAAUGCUGACAUAAGUAACGAUAAAGCGGGUGAAAAGCCCGCUCGCCGGAAGACCAAGGGUUCCUGUCCAACGUUAAUCGGGGCAGGGUGAGUCGACCCCUAAGGCGAGGCCGAAAGGCGUAGUCGAUGGGAAACAGGUUAAUAUUCCUGUACUUGGUGUUACUGCGAAGGGGGGACGGAGAAGGCUAUGUUGGCCGGGCGACGGUUGUCCCGGUUUAAGCGUGUAGGCUGGUUUUCCAGGCAAAUCCGGAAAAUCAAGGCUGAGGCGUGAUGACGAGGCACUACGGUGCUGAAGCAACAAAUGCCCUGCUUCCAGGAAAAGCCUCUAAGCAUCAGGUAACAUCAAAUCGUACCCCAAACCGACACAGGUGGUCAGGUAGAGAAUACCAAGGCGCUUGAGAGAACUCGGGUGAAGGAACUAGGCAAAAUGGUGCCGUAACUUCGGGAGAAGG
RNAcentral lists this ribosomal RNA (1318 nucleotides) under Escherichia coli. RNAcentral describes it as "partial 23S ribosomal RNA". It matches the Rfam family "Bacterial large subunit ribosomal RNA", at positions 426 to 1746 of the family's 2925-position model. The record is from RNAcentral. Lineage: Bacteria; Pseudomonadati; Pseudomonadota; Gammaproteobacteria; Enterobacterales; Enterobacteriaceae.